Molecule: transfer RNA, 112 nt
Filed under: Methanofollis liminatans DSM 4140
Lineage: Archaea; Methanobacteriati; Methanobacteriota; Methanomicrobia; Methanomicrobiales; Methanomicrobiaceae
Description: tRNA-Met
Rfam family: tRNA
About the family: Transfer RNA (tRNA) molecules are approximately 80 nucleotides in length. Their secondary structure includes four short double-helical elements and three loops (D, anti-codon, and T loops). Further hydrogen bonds mediate the characteristic L-shaped molecular structure. tRNAs have two regions of fundamental functional importance: the anti-codon, which is responsible for specific mRNA codon recognition, and the 3' end, to which the tRNAs corresponding amino acid is attached (by aminoacyl-tRNA synthetases). tRNAs cope with the degeneracy of the genetic code in two manners: having more than one tRNA (with a specific anti-codon) for a particular amino acid; and 'wobble' base-pairing, i.e. permitting non-standard base-pairing at the 3rd anti-codon position.
Source: RNAcentral
GCUGCGGUGGCCUAGCUGGUUAGGGCGCCAGACUCAUAGGGUUUUGAGCAAAAAACGAAGCGCCCGGAUCUGAGACAUCUGGAGGUCGGGGGUUCGGAUCCCCCUCGCAGCA